Molecule: ribosomal RNA, 429 nt
Filed under: Chloroflexota bacterium
Lineage: Bacteria; Bacillati; Chloroflexota
Description: Chloroflexi bacterium partial 16S ribosomal RNA
Rfam family: Bacterial small subunit ribosomal RNA
Source: RNAcentral
UGGGGAAUAUUGCACAAUGGGCGCAAGCCUGAUGCAGCCAUGCCGCGUGUGUGAAGAAGGCCUUCGGGUUGUAAAGUACUUUCAGUCGGGAGGAAGGUGGUAAGGUUAAUAACCUUAUCAAUUGACGUUACCGACAGAAGAAGCACCGGCUAACUCCGUGCCAGCAGCCGCGGUAAUACGGAGGGUGCAAGCGUUAAUCGGAAUUACUGGGCGUAAAGCGCACGCAGGCGGUUGAUUGAGUCAGAUGUGAAAUCCCCGGGCUUAACCCGGGAAUUGCAUCUGAUACUGGUCAGCUAGAGUCUUGUAGAGGGGGGUAGGAUUCCAUGUGUAGCGGUGAAAUGCGUAGAGAUGUGGAGGAAUACCGGUGGCGAAGGCGGCCCCCUGGACAAAGACUGACGCUCAGGUGCGAAAGCGUGGGGAGCAAACAGG